UACGUAGGGGGCGAGCGUUGUCCGGAUUUAUUGGGCGUAAAGAGCUCGUAGGCGGUUCGGCAAGUCGACGGUGAAAUCUCCACGCUCAACGUGGAGGGGUCCGUCGAUACUGCUGUGACUCGAGUCCGGUAGGGGAGUGUGGAAUUCCCGGUGUAGCGGUGAAAUGCGCAGAGAUCGGGAGGAACACCCGUAGCGAAGGCGGCACUCUGGGCCGGUACUGACGCUGAGGAGCGAAAGCCAGGGGAGCAAACGGG
RNAcentral lists this ribosomal RNA (254 nucleotides) under uncultured bacterium. RNAcentral's name for it is "partial 16S ribosomal RNA". It matches the Rfam family "Bacterial small subunit ribosomal RNA", at positions 524 to 776 of the family's 1533-position model. The record is from RNAcentral.